GAUGAACGCUGGCGGCGUGCCUAACACAUGCAAGUCGAACGAAUCAGAUAUUCAACACUGAGUAUUUAGACGAAGGAAAAAAGUUAGCCAGCGUCAAGGACGAACGAUAGAGAGUCCUUUACGCGUUCAAAAAAGUGUGCUAACACAUGAUAGUCUGAAUGUUGAGUGUUAGAAUAUCUGAUUAGUGGCGGACGGGUGAGUAACGCGUGGGAAACCUGCCCUAUACAGGGGGAUAGCCUCGGGAAACUGGGAUUAAUACCCCAUAAAACUCUAGUAUCGCAUGAUACAUGAGCCAAAGAUUUAUCGGUAUAGGAUGGUCCCGCGUCUGAUUAGCUAGUUGGUGAGGUAACGGCUCACCAAGGCGACGAUCAGUAGCCGGCCUGAGAGGGUGAACGGCCACACUGGAACUGAGACACGGUCCAGACUCCUACGGGAGGCAGCAGUGGGGAAUAUGCACAAUGGGGGAAACCCUGGAUGCAGCAACGCCGCGG
RNAcentral lists this ribosomal RNA (491 nucleotides) under uncultured bacterium. Its description in RNAcentral is "bacterial SSU rRNA". It matches the Rfam family "Bacterial small subunit ribosomal RNA", at positions 28 to 402 of the family's 1533-position model. The record is from RNAcentral.